RNA transcript from Lagopus muta (rock ptarmigan), 14108 nucleotides. It is a transcript of the gene named nuclear receptor interacting protein 1, with no coding region annotated. The transcript has 5 exons. The record is from RefSeq and is a predicted model, not a curated record. NCBI's taxonomy places the organism in Eukaryota, Metazoa, Chordata, Aves, Galliformes, Phasianidae.
GGAGGAGGGGCCGGGUUGCGCCGCGCCGGGCGAGGUGGAAGGCGGGGAGGAUCGCGGCUGCGGGUUAGGCUUUGAAAGUCAGCCUCGCAGGCAUUGCAGUAGAGCCCCGAACCGCGGAGGGGAGCGGCGCAGAGCUCGGCUCGCUGUAUGAAGCAUGGAAUUGCUGAGGGAGAAAAUUAGUGCAUCCUUGGACUCCUGAAGGAAUAGCCUUCCUUAUGGGACCACUUUCAAGGCCUGACGCAUACUAAUAUCCUUCCUUGCCAGCUCUGGGUGGCUGAGAAGGAAAUCACAAGGGUGGAGUGAAAAGCAGAUUGAUAGAGCUCCAGCACUGACGCUUUCAAGAUAAUUUUUGAUCUGAGAUUGUUAACUUGGCAUCUGCUGAAAGCAUCCCAAGAAGCUGGAGAUGUGAUCAACUGACUACUAGAACUUCUGGCCUUCUCUUGAUAAAUGGAUUUUAAAUUGUAUUUGGUUGUUUCAGAAGAGUGGGGGCAGUUCCCCUCCCUACUGUAUUCCCUACUGCUUUGCUUUUGUUGCUCUUUUUGACUUGUACCUCUGCUGAUCCAGUGUCACUCACUUCAGUGUUAAUUUGAUAUUUGUGAGUCAUCUAUCAGUUCAGUUAGGUUCUGCAGAAAUGUAUGAGCUUGAACUUGUGAGAUACCACAUCGACAUUACCAUUAAUAAAGUUCCUUGGUAUCAUUCAAGUUUAGCAACAGAGACAGAAUGAAAACCUUUGGCUUUAUGGCUUUAUCCUUUUAACCACUCUAAAAAACAACAACAACAACAGCAUAUGAUAUUUAGUAAGAAGAUAUGCAGCCAAUGAAACUUUUACCUUCUGGUUGCUGACAAUGCCUUACUAUAUAUUGAUUCAGAAAACACUGGAGUUGCUUAUUGAUGGUAUAUUGAACUGGGAAAUGAUUCUGUCAAGGAAAGAUGGCUUUAUAUAAUACAAGGGACAUAGGUUGUGACCCAUCAGCUGUGCUCAAAUCUCUACCAGGGCAGACUAAGUUGGAAAUAAUAUCUAGCCUGAUCAGCUAAAUUGACAGAGUGGUGGUUUUUUGGAUGCUGUUAGAUAAUGACUUUAUAGUACAUAGGAGACUUCAAGUUGCAUAAACUGUCUUUGCUUACUGUGCUCGUGACAGAGUUGCUUUGUUUUAUGACAGGUUCCUUCUUUCUGUACUUAACCAGUAGGCAUUAAAUAGACAGCCUAAAAUUGUAAUUACAAUUCUGGUUUAUUCCUGUGUUGUUUCCCCCCCACACUCUGCAAUGUUAGAAAGGCUUACAGAAAGGAGUUUACUGUCUUGCCCCUAUUGCCUUUGUUACUGCUAGUUUAAUUUGUUAGGCUUUCAGCACAUGGCAAAAGAUCACCUGCUGUGCAGGUGUGUGUUGAGCAACUUGAGGAACAGGCGAGCUGGUAUAAUCAUUCUGGUCUAGUUUAGAGUAGGAAAUCUUGCUCUAUGCCCUGAAUAAUGACUGAUUAUAUUGUAAACUGCAUUCAGAUCUUGAAGGUGAACGUGCUUUCAUUAAGUUCUAGAACUCCAACUUGACUGGACUCUAAUACUGGUGAUCUAUUACUGUUUUUCACUAUGAUGUGCGUCUGUUUAUCAUGUGCCUAAUUCUGCAGUAUUAAGAUAUGUUGCGUAAAAUUUGAUGCCUCUUUAGUGCAGGGAUCUUUAUGUGUGCCUAAUUUCCCCAUUAUUUUGGUGUCUUAUUAAAAUCCAUAGAUCUAAUUUGUCAGUAAAAACAAGUUUUAUAAAAUGAGUGGAAUUACUGUUUUACCAUUUGUCUAUAUGUUAUUUUGACUACAAAAAUUUAUUGAUGUGAAAUUUCGCAUAAACAUGAAAAAGGACAUUGUUUUUAAAACUGGCAUAAAAAUUCCUUUAUGGAAUUAAACAGAGCAGCCAGCCCAGUGCUUCAAGAUGAUCAGUUGCUGUGGGCUACUUUACUGAGUUGAUCAGACAGAGGUACUCUCGUCAUUGUGCUAGCUGACAUUUGGUUUUGUUGUUCUCCUGGCUAACCAUUCAUUCAUUGCUGUUAGUCAUUACCUCCUUUUAAAAGACAACACACUGAAAAUAGCUUACAUCUUCAGGCUCCCUUUGCUGAGAGCUUUGACUCUGCCCAUUAAAGUCUUCUUUAGGGAAAUAAAAUAGACAUUUCAUGUCUGAAAUGCAAUUCUAUGUUGUCACAGUGUAAAAACAAAUAAACAAACAAAAAAAACCACUAAAUAAUCCCACUAUCCAUUGAUUGUGGUCUACUACAUCCCUUUGACUUGAAAAGCAUGCAGUUUGAUCCCAAAUUCAGAAGUAGCUAAAGUCCCCUGCUCCUGCAGGGGUUGUAGAGGGUGAGCUUGUAUUUAGCAGGAGAAAAAAAAAAAAGCUGCUGAUGUGGUUUAGUUCAGAUUAAUCUUCAUAAUCAAAUCAAAUGGAAAGUUUGUAAUAUAAAGAAAGGCCUGAUAUGAUAUGCAAUUGACUUAUUUACAAGCUUGAUUGAAGUGAAAGAAUUUUUGUGCCUUGGACUUCUUUUGUGUGCCCUAAUAAUAAACUUAAGCUAUUGAACUCCAAAUAGGCUUGAUUUUAAGUGUCGGUUAACUAUACACUUACAGGUGUUUCUUCAAAUGAUUUUGGAUGUAAGAUGUCUUGUACGUUUUCGUGUGUGUUUGAUUCUCAGAGAAAGUGUCAUUAAUUUGCAGAUGUUGAAUGAACCUCUGUUUUUCAUCUUGAAUUAUAAUAAUUGCCUGAUAUUUGUGCAUACAUGUGUAUUUAUUUUUCCUUCCUCACACUUCAGUGUCUGGGUAAAAGGGUGUUGAGGGGGAGACCUUAUUGCUUUCUUCCAAUAUCUGAAAGGUGCUUACAGCGAGAGCAGGGUUGGUCUCUUCUCACUGCUGACAGGUGACAGCAUGAGGGCAAAUGGCCUCAAGUUGCACCAGGGUAGGUUUAGGUUGGAUAUCAGGAAAAACGUGUUUACAGAAAGGGUGGUUAAGCACUGGAAUAGGCUCCCCAGGGAGGUGGUUGUGUCACCACACAAAAACCAUCUGGAUGUGGUGCUCAGGGACGUGAUUUAGCAGAGGACUGUUAGAGUUAGGCUAGUAUGGUUAGGUUGUGGUUGGACAUCUUUGGAUGAUCUUCAAGGUCUUCCAACCUGAGCAAUUCUGUGAUUCUGUGUGUGCAGCCUUUUGUAGUGUAGGAAAGGUAGAAAUUGCACUUUAAUAUACCUUCUUCCAUUUUGUUCAAAGGGGUUAAAAAAAAAAAAAGUUAACAGAAUAGUAUUGCCCUAAUGUCUAAAAUUUUACUCAGUUUGAUCUUAACCAGUGACUGUUUUAGGAUAUCAUGAAUCAGUAUCAGAGCUAGAAACACCUAUGCUGUUGUGCUGAGAAGCUUGCAUGCCAGGCUUCAGGAGUGGUUUGUGUCUGGCUGUAGUAACUCAGGAGAUACGUGAACAGACCUAUGCACAGGCAUUGCGCUCCCUAAAUAUAAACUGUUCCCAGUCAUGUCUAGACUGACAUCAGAACUGUACUUGUGCAAGCCAUGCUGUUCUUCAGGUUCUAGUUAUUAGAAGGAACAUCUCAGCUUUGUGGUGGUGUUGCAGGUUUGAAUUUUGUGUGCCUUUGUGUUGCUCAGUACACCUUUUCUUUCUGCUGUUCGUGUCAGAAGGUGUCCAUUGCAAUUGACCAGCAAGAUAAAUAUUCUUCAGCGCGUUUCAAGCUUUGAGAAUGUGUCAGUAGAUGAGUGGAUUGAUAGAUCAGUAAAUGAAUUCCAUUUCUAACUGUUCUUACUCAACCUCUGAGUUUUAAUGAUUAUUUCAACUGUUGCUAUAGUGUUUAACCUGCUCAAUUGCACAACGUUCAGCAUUAGAGAAGCUUUCUGGGAGAAGACUUGUCCUGAUUACAGAAGAAGUUAGUUUGAUUGUAUUCUGCAUAGAUCAUGUGUUACAAGUUCUUUUUGUUUUAUUAAAUUGAGAAAUAUAUGCUGUGCCCACAGCUAGUAAAGAUAAAUGAGUGUUUAAAGCGCACCUACAAUUGUUAUAGAAAAGUAAGCAGCUCAGAGUACAUGACUACAUAAACUGAGGUCUUUAUUCUGUAGCAGUGGUCUCCUUCUAGAUUUGUGACUUAAUACUGUUGAAUAGUACAAAAAAGAUUGCAAAAAGUGGUAUCUUCCAUUUGUUUUUCAUUUAAUAUAAUUGCUCCUUAUUUAUUUGACAACCUGCCGAACUACUUUUGUUAAUGUAAACAAGCAGAGGUCAGCUGCUUUUAAAGGUGGGGAACGCUUAAACUUAGAAUGCACCAAUGUAAAGAAAAUACAGUGGUAUUUCUGGUAAGUGUACUAAGAGGAGGGGAAAAAACAGCAACCAGCACCAGGAGCUUUGAUCAAAUGCCAGCUCUUACAUCAGUCCUCUUUGUAAUCUUUCUUGCUGAUCUGUGACCUUGACCUUGUGUUUGUGUUUGUAUGUCAAAUCUAUUUUAGGGAUGGGCAAACUAAGUUCAGUUUAGUAGGAUUUAUACUGCAGCUUCAUAGGAUGCCUCAGUACAAUAUAAAAAUAUUCUGGUUGUUCUAUUUGUGUGUAUAAAUUAUGCAUACAUGUAUAUGUGUAGUAUGCAUUUUUUAAAUUCUGCUUAGGAGAUGCUUCUUAAAGGCAUCUUCAUCUGACUAGUAAAGUCAUCAGAGACAGUCUGCCUGGGUUUCUUCCUAGAGAAUCUCAACAGGUAGAGAGACUUCUGCUGUUUGCUUUUGGCACAAGUGUGGUUUGAAUCUAAAAAGUAGGCUCUGUCCUUUGUCCUACACGCUUCUCCAGACACGUUUCUCAGACAUCCCCACAUGGAGAACAGUGAAGCAAGCAUUCUGUGGCAUUUUGGGAGGUUCCUUUGGUGACAUUGAGGCCCUUAGUCCUACUUACCCAGUAGGAGCUUUAUGUAAGAACACUUGUGUCAGUGGAAGGAAGGUGACGAGCAAGCAGCUGAAGGUCCAUGGAGUCAUGUGUUCUGGCAGCAGCUUCACUCUUAAAUUAGACAAAUUUCUGUAGAACCAUGUUUUUAUAUACAUCUAAAUGUGCAGCUUCUGAACUAGUCUGUUCUAUUUAUUACUGGACUUCUUCAUGGUGGCUGAGAUUGACUUUUUCCUACAAAAUGAUGAGACUCACUAGCAGCCAGUUAAUGAUUUGCUGGUGCUGUGAUUGUUCAACAGGGUUCUUGGGCACAGGCUUAAUUUUAGAUGGAAGCUGGUUUUGUAACUGGCAUUGUAGGCAUAUGACUUUAUAAAGGCUUAGUAAACUUGUUGGUUUGAGAUGUGCUUUGAAAGGUGGUCCCAAAUUAGCUGAUACUUAUAAUGCUUGUCAUUUUCUUUUUUUCCAACAUAAAAUUUGAGAAAUUAUUUCAGAAUGUUUCCCUUUGUACUGUAGGGUAGUUAAGCAUUUCCACUUGCUGGCCUUCCAUUAUUCUUACAGUGGCUUUUCAUCAGCACAAACAAAGUAAAAGUUUUCAUUGUUUUUUUUUUUAUCUAAGUCAGUAUUUUAGCUGUUCCAACUUGACUUGAGGUUUAGGUCAGUAUGGUUCAUGGAUGUGUGUGCAGCACAAUUCCUAAAAUUUGAGAGUGUUGUUAAGUAAUCAUCCCUGUACAUUGGUAUGACUUAAAAGGCUUUCAGUAUUUCGUUGGAAAUUGAUGAGUAUUUUCAGGUAAACUCUGGCACAGUUUAAAGAUGAGAAAUUUCUGUGACAUUCUUCACAGGAUGUUGUUAGCUUUUUCUCCCCAAAAUUCACUUAAAUUUGUUCUUAUGUUACAGAUUCAUUUCUGUUGAUGUUUUUGCUACUUAGGAGAAAAAAAUCAAUUUUGUAAAGAACUAGAAAAAACCUUCUAGUUAAUGCGGGCUUUUCCUUUUCCACUUAGCUGAAAUUAUAUGAGCCUUUCCUGUGUCCUUACCUUUGGAAACAUGACCUACAGAAGACUCAAGUCUCAUUAAAAUAGAAAUAAUAUUGUUCUUUCACUUAAAUGAAAAUAAAAAGGAAUCUAUCUGUAUCUAUAUAUAAAUAUAUAGAUUUGAGAUGAGGCAUAGGUCAUUCUGGAAGUAAUGCCUCCUUUUAUUUCUAUGGAAGCUACAACAGAUACAAAGAGCACAAUAACACUAUUUGAGCAAGUUCUGAGCUACAAAACACUAUUUUUCAGCAUAGUCAACACCAUCAGCUAUGCAUUUUUACCACUGAUAAGCAGGAGCCUGUAUGCAUACAUGUAUGGAAAAAAACAUCUGCUCCAGCAGUUGACUCACUGUUUCACAGCAGCUGUGAUGGUGUGUUGCUAGGAAAAUGUGGCCCUCACAGUAAAAUAAAUCAGGCCCAAGAGAUAGAAGACAGAAGUUGCCAAACCUUCAGACCAUGCGAUUGGUGUGGGAUGACAGUCUAGCCAAGAUGGCAAUGUGCUCCUCAGUCUUUCAAACUGAUACGGGGCCUGGCAUUUUGGUGUUGCAGGAGAAUGGUUAUCUUCUUCUCUGGCCUGAUUCUGGAAGUUGAAGCCUUCAGCUUAAUCGGUUUUGCAGUAUAAUGUAAUGGUUAGAGUUUGUUUGCCUGGGUUCCAGGAUAUUGACAAGAAUCCCCCUUUCCUAUCCCUAAAGACAACACACAUCCUUUUACCUACUGAGGGCUGCUUCUUGAACUUUUUCUUCAGUGGGAAAUUCACCUGUUGUUACUCCAUGGACUGCCACUUUGACUCUAGCUUAUAGCGGUGCCAUCACAUCUACUUACCAGUAAUGAUGCAAUUUGGGAAACUGUCAUCUUCAACCUUGUGUUGGUUCAGUAGGUCCUAACAAACUUUCAUAUGGUGUCUUCUGUUUCUCUGUGAGAAACUGUGAGACCCGAUGUGUGCAAAGUUAAUGGUAUUCCAACAUUGCCACCAUUGUUUUCAAUGCAUUGAAUCCCAUAUUCAGCUUUGUAUGCAGUUCCCUGGUUGUAAUACACUUAUUUGUGUGAGUGAGCUGAUUAUACUGUGUCAGCUGUCCAUGGCCAGCCAGAACGUGGCUUGUCUUUUACAUUGCUGUCACCACUGCUGAAAUGCAUCACCUCUCAUCUGUUGCAUGACAAUAAAAUGUAGUGGAAUAUUGUCAGGAAGACUGAGUCUCUAUCACCAUACCACCGCUAUCUACCUCUGACAUCAUGGACCAGCAUAAUAAAAUUGGAGGCAUCACUUUUGGAGCAGCCCUUCUGCAUAUAUAAUUGAAUAUUAUGUGAGUGUGAUCCUAUAUCUUACUAUGGAAUUACUGUGUGGGUUUUUUUUUACUUUAGUUGAAACCUAUUCUGCAGAAAAUUAAAAAAAUAAAAAUAAAAAAAUAAAAAAAAAAGCUCAUUCAUAGCUAGCCAUGAGGCACUUGGUCCCCCAUGGUUGCACUGUCAGUUACCUUCAACACAUAUCAGAUGUGUAGAAAUGUUAUCUACAUGCAAUAAUCGUAAGGUAAAACCAUGAUUGUCCUGAAGUCACUGUAUAUUAAUCACUUUGUAUUAAUCAAGUUGCAUUCUUGGGGAACUGACACUGUUAAGAGCAAAAUCGUUUGUUAGGGGAAGGUGGUGAAAUAGAAGUCUGGAUGUUAGAUUUCUUUUAAUUAUGUAAAUAAUUAUGAAGUAAGCAAUAUAUGAAGAUUGGGAAGAUGCAUCCUCUGUCCACUCCACUGUACCUAUUAGUAUAUAUAUAUUUUUAAAAUAAAUGAUAAAUUUGUUGAGCCUGUUUGCUUUUGGUAUCCUUGGUAUUUGUUGAGAAACAGCUUCAGAGGCGGUCCUAGAUGCCGAAUAUUCACUUCCUUCACAAGUGAUAUUUAGAAAUUGAUAUUGCUCUUAUUAGAGCAAUGUGUUUUUGGAGGAUAGCAGAUCCUGAUCAAGAAAUGAACUCAAAGGUACCCUUUGCAUCACGCUUACAAAUACUACUGAAGGAGCACUUCUUUUUAUUUCAGUGAUAAGAAGUUUAUGUGUGUGAGUCUCUGCAAAGGAAUUAACUGAAAUUUACAUAAAAUACUCAAUUAUUGGUGUAAUCAAAAGUGACAUGGGUGUCUGUAAGCUAUGGGGUAGCCAACAUUGCUAGGGCUUUUGGUCUUCCAUGUGAAGAUACUUUGCCUCUUAAUUUGACAUGUUCCAGCUUCUGCAUCUCUCCUCGCAUGUGCAUUAAUAAAAUUAUGUCUCUUUGCAUCCCUUCAGGUUAUUGUGUCAACUUUUAGGGGAUCAAUCUUCUGCACAACUUACCAUAACCUGACUGUUUAAGCAGCUGAAAUCAUCUGAAGGCUUUGUCUGGCCUGAUGUAGCUUUCUUCCUUUCAGUUCAAACCUUAAAACUUCUGCUAAUGCCAGAAAGUAAGGUCAGGAUUGCUUUUGGCAGUACAGAGCCUAACAUAGCACCAGGGAAAAGAAGCAUAGCCAGCAGAUUGAGAGAGGUGAUUCUGUCAGUCUACUCUGUGCUGGUGAGACUUCACCUGGAGUACUGUGUCCACUGUGAAGUCUCUGAGUAGUUGAUAUGAGAGAGACAUAGAUCUGUUGGAACGUGUUCAGAGGAAGGCUACAAAAAUGAUCCAAGGGACGGCGCACCUCUCCUACAAGGGCAGACAGAGAGCUGGGGCUGUUCAGCCUAGGGAAUAGAAGGCUGCAGGGGAUCCUGAAAGUGGUCUUUCAGUAUCUGAAGAUGGAUAUAAGAAAGGACUGGAUCUGUUGUGACAGGACAUGGAGAAAUUAUUUCAAACUAAAAGAGGGGAUAUUUAAGUUGGUAUAAAGAAGGAACAUUUACAAAUAAGGGUGAUGAGACAGUGGAACAGGAUGCCCCGAGAGGUGGUGGGUGCCCUAUUCCUGGAGACAUCCAAGGUCAGGCUGGACAGGGCUCUGAGCAACCUGAUCUAGCCCUAGGUGUCUCUAUUUAUUGCAGGAUUUGGACUAGAUGGCCUUUAAGGGUCCCUUCUAACUCAAACGAUUUUAUGAAUCUAUGAAAAGGUUCUCCUGCCCUGUCAUUUUAAAGGGUGAGUGGUGAUUCUGCAGGACUGUGGCAGCAUGGUAAGGAGUGUCCUGGUUCUGGCUGCUGGGGCUCCACUUCUGCAGUGCCUUGGAGUCCCUGGAAAAGUCUGGCAACAACCUUUCAAACUGCAAUGUGAUCCCCAGUGUGCCCUCUCCCGAUUCAGCUUUUUAAAAGCAGCAGGGUAUCUUUUCCAUGUUUAAAAUCUCUUGGAGUAAGUAGGCCCCAUCAACAAGUAAACAGUAUGCCAAGCUGUUGGGAAGGAGUCGGUGUUUCCUUUCUCGUAGUGAUAUCCUGGGAUCAUAGGGAAAGUGUUUGGUUUUCAUGAAUUUAUUAUUAAAAAAAAAAAAAGGUAUGUUGAUUCAUAAAUUCUCUAGUGUGCAACUGUGGAAUAUUCACCUGUUACUGAAUUUUGCUCUGUAAUCUAAUUAUUUUUGCACUUUUCUUUUUUCUUUUUUUUUUUUUUUUUAAAUAAAAGGGAAAGGAAAUCUUCAGAAUGCCUUUACAGACUAAAUAAAAUCUGUGAAGAGGUCUCAGCUGCUCCAUUCAUCUCAGUAGAGUUCAGAAGUAAAGCAGGGAUUUAGCAAAACACUUAAUACUGGCUUCUCUUAAAGUACAUGCUUAAUUGCCUUUGAAGUACCUCCACAUUUGUGCUGCUGUAUGCAUUCGGUGCAGUGCAUCAUGCCUUUUUCACUGCUUGUAACCUUAGCAAAAAGUCAACAGAAGUGCUUGUACCACCACUCUGAAUACAUCCUUCCUGUCUGCUGAAGUCCAAGGAAUGGAGCUCAGAACAAAAUAAUUGUGGGACAGCUAUUUUUCCUUUCUACACUUGUAUUCAGUCUACUGAAAAAUUCUGCUGCAAUUUCCAUUCUUCGCUCAUGUGGGAAUCUUUGUGUAGAACUUAAUUUCAUUCUGCUCUGCAGCAUCUCACUACAGACAGCUUGUAAGAACACAAUCGUUUGAAAUCCUGUUUUAGGUGCUUGCUCAGUACUGUUACUGAAGCUGUUAAGCAACUUAAAGUCUUUAAUAUAUUUAUCCCCUGUUGUAUUUUUGAUGUUUGCAUCUAUUAUUUUACACCAUCUGUGAAAAUACGAUAUAGAAAAGUAAAACCAGAAGUCAUUCGGCCUGCCUGAAGCACAGCAAGUAACCAAGACCCCAGGAUCACAAGCUGCUACUGUAUUCCCUAGAUUCCUCAAAUGAACAAUGAUGAAAAUGACCGUCUGAAACACCACUUGACAUGAUGGGCUGUAGCUGCUCUGGGAAUAUGAGAAUAGGUAGGCUGUGAGCUGUAGUGGGAGAUUUAGAAAGGAGAAGUACUAGCCAGAGAUACCAGUUAAACAUGUUUAUAGGUGACAAUGUAAAUCAUUACCUGUUUUUAAUUUAUUAAAUGGUAACAACUCAGUGUCUAUUGGUUAAUUGCAGAAUGGCUGUUUUAGCAUUUCCAGGUAAGUUUUGCAGCGGAGGCAUUCAUUAAUUGAAAAAACUUAAGAGUUGCUUUUGUUUUCUCAGUGUCAUCCCACAGUCAUAGGGAAGAGUUUGAUCUCCAUUAAUUUAUUGUUAAGAAAAGGCGUGUUGAUUCUCAGAUUCUCUGGAAGAAUUCAUCUGUUGCUCAGUUGUGCUCUAUAAUCAGAUUAUGUUUUCUCUUUUGUCUUUAAAAAAAAUUCGGAAGGGGAACCUUCAAAAUUCUUGACAGCCUGAAUCAAAUCUGUGAAGAGGUCUCAGCUGCUGCAUUCAUCUCAAGAGACUUCUGAUAUAGAGCAGAGAUUUAGCAAUAUACUAUAUGUAAACUAUGUGUGUGUAUAUAUACGUGUGUGUGUGUGCAUGUCAGCAAAAAGCUAUUGGUUCAGAUGUUGUUGUUUUAACCUAGAAGGGUUUGUUCUCCAAUUUAUCUUUUGUGGCAGUAAUACUUCAUGUUAACUGAAGGAUGUCAGAGUAUAUUGUUAUUUUGCCACUGAAAUCUUUGCAACUACCAAGUAUAUCCGUAGUUUGCAAACAAAGAAGAACUCUUGAUAACUGCAAAAGUAAAAUUAAUAUUCUGGACAUCCAUGAUUUCUACAGUUCAAUGCGUGUUAUAAUAUUCUCUUAUCUUCCUCACUCUGCCUACAGAUUCUCCCUGGGCACUUUUUAAAAGGCUGUAGGACUGAUUUCCCAUGGUAUGCUCCACUUUCGGAGUGUCUCUCCAGGUUACAGCAUUUGUGUUGUGAGUCGUGCUGCUGCUUUAGUUCUGUCUAGGUAAACAUGACUUAAUGAGCUGUGAUCGGUGUGUGGUUGUGUUGGUUCUGAAAAUAGCCUCUGCAAAACAAGCCUUUUAUUUGUAGAAUACGAGAAUUUGUGAAGAAAGAGUUGAAACAACAAAAAGUGGUUCACGCACAGUCAUUGCCUGGUCAAGAAAGCAUAUCAAAUUGAAUUUAUCAUUUCUUUCACUAUAGUGAAAUAUAAUUCUAGAGAUUCGGAGACAUUAGGUACAUAAGAUCCCCCUUCUCUUCCUUCUUUUUUUAACAUUCUAUUUUUAUUUCCUCAUUUCAGAUGAUUUCUGCAAUCAUAUUUAUUGCACACUUUCAGGGAAAUUCUUUGGUUUAGUCAAUAUGUUUUGAAAGGGUUACUGAAUGAUUGUGUUACUGAAUGAUUUUGUCUAGCUAAACAUUAAUUCCCAAAGCUGGUUCUGAUUCCGUAUGACCACACAUCAGACCAGAGAGUGGAAGAUAAGCAUACCAGAUUCAAAACUUGCAAGAAAUGCGUAGUUGUGAGACUGUUUUCAAAUAGGUUAAUUUACUACCAGGCUUUUUGUCACAAAUAAAGUAUGGGUUUAGAGAUUUUUUUUUUUUUUUUUAAAUGUGAUUUCCAUUCUUGACAGGUGACUUCAUAUUUGCAUGUUGCACAUCAGGUCCGGCAGGAUUUUUUAAUGCUAUGAUAGCCACUGUGAUACUAAAUCAGUGCAGCUUCUUUAGAAGGGUCUGUGAUGUCCUUUUCCUCAUGUUAUAUGCCUUUCAGAUUUCAUUCUCUUCAAUGAAAGCUCCCUUGCAUCAUUAGACUUCAGUAAAAUUAUGAAUAUUUCUUUGCCCUUGAGGAAUUUCAAACAUGCAAGCAAACAAACAAACCAAAAAAAGAAGAUAAAAGUGGCAAGCCGCUGUUUAGAGUACCUGCACAUAAACUGUACUGGCUACAAGUGUCACCUCUUGCAGUAGUCUUUUUGAGCACCUAAGGAAUUCACAUAAAUGCAUUGUACUUUUAAAAAUUAAUUUUAUAGUGAUGUCUUCCCAAAUACCAGCUUAACACAGAGUGCACUGGCUUGGGGCUUUGGCUUUAAGGGAUGCUUUAAGGUAGCUGCAGUGUAUGAUAGUGAAAAAACGCAGUUUUAUUUUCUUAAGCACAAAGGAGGGUAUCAAGUGCUACUUGCUCCUGUAUAAGAACAACAUGCUGUGAGCUAAAUUGCCUUUUGAAAUGUGAAAAUGUAUCUGCAGAUAAACUGUUUGGUUUUGGAAGCUGGAGAACUUUGUUUUCUGGAUAAAGUAUAUUUCCAAAUAUUUAAGAAAAUAAACUUAGCUGUAUAGACAUGGCACUUUCUGGAUGGUUGACAUAUUCAUGAGAAGCAUUGUGUAUGAGCUAUUUUUUUUUCCAAGGACUUGCUGUUUAUUAUAUUUGAACCUUUGCAAAAGUCAAUGCACAGACACAGAGAAUGUUGAAGAAACAGUGAGAUCAUAGGCAAUUUGUGAGAGAAAUACUGAUUCCCAAGAAUGAGCUACCAACUUUCAGUUCAUUGUUUAGAUACAUGGGUAUACUCAUUUACACUACAGUGUUUUAGCUGGUGUUUUAGUUCUGUGGGUUUUUGUUUUUUGUUUUUGUUUACUUGUUUGUUUUGAAUAGUUUGUGGAACUUCCUUAAAUGACUUGAAGUCUACUAAGAAUGUAUUUGUACAGGAACGUCUAUAAGGUAUUAGCAUUAUGGCUGUGUAGCUGUUGUUCUAAUUCCAUACUUUUCUCAGAUUUGAUAUUUUUCUAACUUCUAGUUGCCUGUAGCUUUUGAAUUAAAAAAAAAAAAGCCUCUGUGCAAUCAAUCAUAAAGCAUUCAUUCACUUUAAGGAUGCAUGGCUUUCACCUUUGUAUAUCCUUCUGAAAACUUGUAUUUACAAGUUUAAAUAUGCUUUUAGUCUGUGAAAGAAAAUUGCAGAGCUAGGUAUGUUGAAAGGCACUUAGCUGUGUUCAUGUUGAAUAUUAAUGCUAUGUGGAACUGAAAGAGAAAAGAAGGAGGCAUGUGUGGUAUAAUGAUCUCAGUACUGAACUGCGUUAACUGUGUGAACUGUUCAUGCUACCGUUGACCAACGUAAAACUAAGAGAUACAUCUAAGCGUAAGAACCAUUGUGUUUUUUAAAUCUACAUUUUAUAGCAUACUGCCUCAUCCAGGUAAGUAUUGAGUAGAGAUGUUCUACAUGAAUGACUUUGAAAACAGAAAGGCUUCAAAGAAGGCCUGCUUUUUCACCAGUUUACAUUGAAUACAUGGAAAGAGUGUAAAAGUAAAUAUCUUUCAAAGAAGAUUUACCAGGAACAUGUUAAUAAUCACCUUUUUCUCCACUCUUGACUCUUCUAAUUACUUAAUGGUAGUUAGGAGUUGGAAGAUCAGAAAUGUGCUCAUAUGUGUUGCAGCUUAUUCUGGUAUUUGAAAAGAAAUUCAACAUGAACCUGAACACUGACUCUUAGGUAUAUAUAUUUUUCCCAUUAUUUUUCUUUCACUGUGGUGUUGUUCAUGCCUUGUGUAUUCACAUGCUAACAUAAAAAUAUUGAUGAAACUGUGAGGUAGAAUCCAGUGUAAACUUUUCUGAGCAGUAUUUUGAUUUUUCUUUCAUGGUUGCUAGUUCUUAUUUUGAGCUGUAGAACAGAGGAAUUCAAUGAUCAUUUCUUGUAGCUACACUUAGAAUAGUUCACUUUAGCUUAGAUUUUACAUAAUGCUUUCUGUCUCAGAAUCAUUUUUAGAGUUCUUCAAAUUAGGUGCCACAGACUCAUUGCAUUACUCAAUUAUUUCUUCUGGAGUGUGAUUAUUGCUUAUACAUCUUGAAUCUCUUUAGAACAAUGUGUGGAAAAAAAACUCAGUUUAUUUAGAUCUUACCCUAAUUCUUUUUCUUGACCACUGUUUUUGUUUUGUUUUGUUUUGUUUUUUU